AUUGAACGCUGGCGGCAUGCCUUACACAUGCAAGUCGAACGGUAACAGGUCUUCGGAUGCUGACGAGUGGCGAACGGGUGAGUAAUACAUCGGAACGUGCCUAGUAGCGGGGGAUAACUACUCGAAAGAGUGGCUAAUACCGCAUGAGAUCUACGGAUGAAAGCAGGGGAUCGCAAGACCUUGUGCUACUAGAGCGGCCGAUGGCAGAUUAGGUAGUUGGUGGGAUAAAAGCUUACCAAGCCGACGAUCUGUAGCUGGUCUGAGAGGACGGUCAGCCACACUGGGACUGAGACACGGCCCAGACUCCUACGGGAGGCAGCAGCGGGGAAUUUUGGACAAUGGGCGAAAGCCUGAUCCAGCAAUGCCGCGUGCAGGAUGAAGGCCUUCGGGUUGUAAACUGCUUUUGUACGGAACGAAAAGCCCCGGGUUAAUACCCUGGGGUCAUGACGGUACCGUAAGAAUAAGCACCGGCUAACUACGUGCCAGCCGCCGCGGUAA
This 498-nucleotide ribosomal RNA is filed under the name uncultured bacterium. RNAcentral describes it as "partial 16S ribosomal RNA". It matches the Rfam family "Bacterial small subunit ribosomal RNA", at positions 30 to 523 of the family's 1533-position model. The record is from RNAcentral.